Panthera pardus (leopard) is the source of this 107-nucleotide ribosomal RNA. The record is from Ensembl. Lineage: Eukaryota; Metazoa; Chordata; Mammalia; Carnivora; Felidae.
GUCUACGGCCAUACCACCCUGAACGUGCCCGAUCUCGUCUGAUCUCGGAAGGUAAGCAGGGUCGGGCCUGGUUAGUACUUGGAUAGGAGAAAUGACAGCAUUUUGCC